GUUGGCUUAGAAGCAGCCAUCAUUUAAAGAAAGCGUAAUAGCUCACUGGUCGAGUCGGCCUGCGCGGAAGAUGUAACGGGGCUAAACCAUGCACCGAAGCUGCGGCAGCGACACUGUGUGUUGUUGGGUAGGGGAGCGUUCUGUAAGCCUGUGAAGGUGGCCUGUGAGGGUUGCUGGAGGUAUCAGAAGUGCGAAUGCUGACAUAAGUAACGAUAAAGCGGGUGAAAAGCCCGCUCGCCGGAAGACCAAGGGUUCCUGUCCAACGUUAAUCGGGGCAGGGUGAGUCGACCCCUAAGGCGAGGCCGAAAGGCGUAGUCGAUGGGAAACGGGUUAAUAUUCCCGUACUUGGUGUUACUGCGAAGGGGGGACGGAGAAGGCUAUGUUGGCCGGGCGACGGUUGUCCCGGUUUAAGCGUGUAGGUGUGUGUUCCAGGUAAAUCCGGUUCACUUUAACACUGAGGCGUGACGACGAGGCACUACGGUGCUGAAGCAACAAAUGCCCUGCUUCCAGGAAAAGCCUCUAAGCAUCAGGUAACAUCAAAUCGUACCCCAAACCGACACAGGUGGUCAGGUAGAGA
RNAcentral lists this ribosomal RNA (577 nucleotides) under Salmonella enterica subsp. enterica serovar Mbandaka. RNAcentral describes it as "partial 23S ribosomal RNA". It matches the Rfam family "Bacterial large subunit ribosomal RNA", at positions 1100 to 1677 of the family's 2925-position model. Lineage: Bacteria; Pseudomonadati; Pseudomonadota; Gammaproteobacteria; Enterobacterales; Enterobacteriaceae. The record is from RNAcentral.